GCGCAAUAAUAGAAACUAACCAGGAUUCCCUUAGUAACGGCGAGUGAAGUGGGAAGCAAUGCAUACGUCGCGUAAUUUAUUACGUGUUCGUAGCUUAGCCCGUCGAUAUAAUCCAUUCUUAGCUGUCGUACUUCGGUACAUCCGCUGGAAGGAAUUGUAGCAUCGAAAGCAUUCAAGUUGUAUUCAUACUGCAAGCAUAAUAAUACACACAUACACACCCCGCUGCAAGUACUAUCGUAAUACAUACAGUGUAUCAUAUAUACGAUUCAAACACACAGCGUUUAGCGCUGGAAAGCAAUCAUUGUAGUUUUACUACAGCCAUAGAGUGUGACAGCCACGUUUUAUGAAAUUUGAUAUACUCUCUCGUAAGUACACACACGCAGUCUUAUAUUAUAUAUGCUCCAUGCAGUGAUAUAUAUACGCAUCACGCGUCGAAUACGUAAUUCGUGAAUGUUGACCCUGAGUCGAGUUGUUU
RNAcentral lists this ribosomal RNA (475 nucleotides) under Cycloclypeus carpenteri. RNAcentral's name for it is "eukaryotic LSU rRNA". The record is from RNAcentral. Lineage: Eukaryota; Foraminifera; Rotaliida; Nummulitidae.